RNAcentral lists this ribosomal RNA (567 nucleotides) under uncultured Glomeromycotina. RNAcentral's name for it is "SSU rRNA". It matches the Rfam family "Eukaryotic small subunit ribosomal RNA", at positions 548 to 1114 of the family's 1831-position model. The record is from RNAcentral. Lineage: Eukaryota; Fungi; Glomeromycota.
UUGGAGGGCAAGUCUGGUGCCAGCAGCCGCGGUAAUUCCAGCUCCAAUAGCGUAUAUUAAAGUUGUUGCAGUUAAAAAGCUCGUAGUUGAACUUCGGGGUCUACCCAUUGGUCAGGCUUAAUUGUCUGUACUGGUGAGAUGGAUCUCUACCUUCUGAGGAACUUUCAUGCCAUUUAUUUGGUGUGAUUGGAAAUCAGAACUGUUACUUUGAAAAAAUUAGAGUGUUUAAAGCAGACUAUCGUCUGAAUACAUUAGCAUGGAAUAAUGAAAUAGGACGGACUGAUUCUAUUUCGUUGGUUUCUAGGAUCACCGUAAUGAUUAAUAGGGAUAGUUGGGGGCAUUAGUAUUCAAUUGUCAGAGGUGAAAUUCUUGGAUUUAUUGAAGACUAACUACUGCGAAAGCAUUUGCCAAGGAUGUUUUCAUUAAUCAAGAACGAAAGUUAGGGGAUCGAAGACGAUCAGAUACCGUCGUAGUCUUAACCAUAAACUAUGCCGACUAGGGAUCGGACGAAGUUAAUUUUAUAAUGACGCGUUCGGCACCUUACGGGAAACCAAAGUGUUUGGGUUC